CAGUAGCCGCGGUAAUACGUAGGUCCCGAGCGUUGUCCGGAUUUAUUGGGCGUAAAGCGAGCGCAGGCGGUUAGAUAAGUCUGAAGUUAAAGGCUGUGGCUUAACCAUAGUACGCUUUGGAAACUGUUUAACUUGAGUGCAAGAGGGGAGAGUGGAAUUCCACGUGUAGCGGUGAAAUGCGUAGAGAUGUGGAGGAACACCAGUGGCGAAGGCGACUCUCUGGUCUGUAACUGACGCUGAGGAGCGAAAGCGUGGGGAGCGAACCGGAUUAGAUACCCCCGUAGUCCUGUCUCUUAUACAC
Molecule: ribosomal RNA, 301 nt
Filed under: uncultured bacterium
Lineage: Bacteria
Description: partial 16S ribosomal RNA
Rfam family: Bacterial small subunit ribosomal RNA
Source: RNAcentral